This 8021-nucleotide long non-coding RNA is filed under the name Nicotiana tabacum (common tobacco). RNAcentral's name for it is "long non-coding RNA (NTAB_LNC008967)". Lineage: Eukaryota; Viridiplantae; Streptophyta; Magnoliopsida; Solanales; Solanaceae. The record is from RNAcentral.
AGAAGGGAGAAACCUAAAGUGACGAAUAAGUGAACAAUUAACUUUAGAUAACUAAGAGAAAUUUACUACAAUGUAGAGAGCUUUUCGGUAGUGGCAGGGAUUCUCUUGAACCGUUGGUGGCGUGAACUUAGAGAGCUAGAAAGAGUGAAAUAUUCUUGCACAUUACAACUCAACUGUGAUGGAAAGGUAUAGAUUUAAUUUUAUCACUAUGACUAUAUUUCUUGAAUUAAUCUAGGAGGGAUAUUAUCACUAAUUCUUUUUCUUAUAGUGACAAAGAUCGAAUUGGAACAGAGUGGCCAUGGAAAACAUUGUAGUAUUUAUUAGGCCUUGGUAAUAUGAGUAGAAUUUUGUAAUGAAAACCUUACUAUUUAAUAAUGGAUAAGAACUAUUUGAGAUUGUCUUUUUGAAGUCAGAACACUUUGCAUAUGGAAUUCGUUUUAGAGUUUUGUAUAUAUUGUUAAAUUAGUUGCAUUACAUAAAUUCAUGUAAUAAGGUUUGAAUUCCUCAACUCACGUAUAGUUACAGGUGCAUUAAUGAGCGUAAAGUUUAGGACGCUUAGAAACCCUUUUAAGCCAGGCAAAUAAGCUUUGAAUAUGUGAAUUAUUAAGGGAUUAGUCGACUGUUUAGCAUAUCAAUUGUUAGAUUUAGUAUAAGAAUUCAUAUUUGACUUAUCAUAGUAUCAAGAUUGAAACUUGAUGAUAGAUUGGACUCUACGACUUAUGGGUAACUCGAUAAUAUAAUUUGUUCGGGGAUUUAGCCAUAAUCAAUGGGGAGUCGACUUUUGAGUUAACUUUAUUUUGAAUGUUUCAAAAGAAUUAUGAGAUCAACUUGACUAUUAUAAUUGAUAUCGUUAAUCAAUACUUUUGGAUAGAUUGAUGUUGUUGGAGGCUAUUUGAUUGGUGUUCUAGACGUUGCAAGGUUGGAAAACUUUUCGUUAGUGAGGUAAGUGAAACUUUAAGCUUUGAUGCUUGCUUUUAUAAAACCCGUUUUGAAAAUGUGUUUUCUCUGCCUGGUCCAUGUGUUGGGACAAGCGUGCGCUUGGCAGAAUCGGUGGUCUUAAACUAGCCGUAAAUAUAUUAUUUUAUGAAAAAUAUAAAAAAAAAUAUUUUAUAAUUAGUUUGAUAGUUUGAUUUGGCUGUGAGCCAUGGUGUUGAGUUUGAUACGGCUGUGCGCCAUGAUGUUGAGUUUGAUACGGUUGUGCGCCAUGAUGUUGAGUUUGAUACGGUUGUGCGCCAUGAUGUUGAAUUUGAUACGGCUGUGCGCCAUGAUGUUGAAUUUGAUACGGCUGUACGCCAUGAUGUUGAGUUUGAUAUGGCUGUGCGCCAUGAUGUUAGUUUGAUACGGCUGUGCGCCAUGAUGUUGAGUUUGAUAUGGUUGUGCGCCAUGAUGUUGGAGCAUUGUGUAUGCAUUUGUACAUCACCCGACCAUUGUGUAUGCUUCUUGAUAUAUUUGGGGCAUUGUGUAUGCUUCUGUGAGCAUUGUGUAUGCUCUGUUACAUAUUUGAGACAUUGUGGUGUNNNNNNNNNNNNNNNNNNNNNNNNNNNNNNNNNNNNNNNNNNNNNNNNNNNNNNNNNNNNNNNNNNNNNNNNNNNNNNNNNNNNNNNNNNNNNNNNNNNNNNNNNNNNNNNNNNNNNNNNNNNNNNNNNNNNNNNNNNNNNNNNNNNNNNNNNNNNNNNNNNNNNNNNNNNNNNNNNNNNNNNNNNNNNNNNNNNNNNNNNNNNNNNNNNNNNNNNNNNNNNNNNNNNNNNNNNNNNNNNNNNNNNNNNNNNNNNNNNNNNNNNNNNGUUCGAUUCAGACUUACCUAAUUCAUGUUAGUUAUUUUCUUUUUUUCUUUGGGGUUUGCAUACCCGUCAAUAAAACUCAUAUUACUCUGUUAGAUGCUCUAUGGUCUUAGUGUGGGAUUUGGGCUAGAGUUUUAUUAUUUGAGUGAUUUUUGGUUUUCCUAUUAAUUGAUUAAGGUAUUGGGCAAUAAUUAUUUCCUCUUUAAUUAUUAAUAAUACUAAUAGGCCUACAUUUUUUUCUCUUAGUGUUUGUGUAAAUGAUUAAACGUUAGAGAAAGGGGUUCGCCUGGCAGGUAGUGUUAGUUGAAUGCCAGUCACGUAUAGGGGGUAGUUUGGGACGUGACGAAGUUGGUAUCAGAGCUUAGGCUUUAAGUCCCGCGUCAUGGAGCAGUGUUUGGUAGAGUCUUGUUCAUGGGUAUGUAGACGUCCAUACUUAUGACCUUGAGACUACUGAACAUCUAGGAUGUUGUCUCUUCUUUCAUUCUUUAUUCGUGCGCUGCGCUGAACCAAGUUAAACAUUGAGAUAAACUUUCGCAGAUGGCUAGGACACACGUAUCCUCCUCUGUCGGACGACACUAGAAGUUUGAAAAUAUGUACAACUAAGAGCUUCCUUGGGUACAUGGGAUUUGCAUCUCUUGUUGUUGAGAUUGGAAAGAUCAUAAAUUUUGGGAUGACUAUUUCUAAAGAAAAACUUUGCCAAAAUUUUUAUUUUUAAAGAAGUUCGAGGGUUAGUCAAAACUUUGGACUAUUGUAAAAUAGUCUAAGGAUUUUUUUUCUUUCUUUUUCCUAAGAUUGAUUUGUUUAAAAUUCGAGGUUGCAGACACAACUCUCUAUUGUGAGUUUGAUCAUGAGAGGAAAGAAUUGAGCGCAAAACUAACAAACGUAAUAGCUUAGCCACGUUUUGGCUAUUGUGAUUGGUAGUAAAAGAUAUUUUGAAAAAGAAAAAAAAGCUUAUAUAGUUCUCAACUUAAUGUCUAAUGAAGUGAUUUGAUAGUAUUAAGAUAUUAUACGUGUGAUUGUGGUGUAAGAAUGCAUAAAUUAAGUGCACUGACUAGAAGUAUAAUAGUGGCACUAAGUGAUGCAAAACCUAUUAAUGGUGAUCGAGAGCUUGUAGAUAAGUGCCAGCUUGGGAGAGAAAAUAAUACUUAAGCAUAUGCUUAAUGCACCAAUAUAGUAAGAGAAUUUUAUGAAACUUGGCACAGUGAUAUGUUUAUCCAUUAAAGUAAGGGUAAGACAUGGAGUAUUGAGAUUGUCAUGCAAAAAAAAAAAUUACUUGACUGUCAUCGAGAAAACUAAUUAGUUCACACAAUUUUGUUAACAUACAUUGUGUUCGCUAAAGCAUAUGUUUGAGUAAGACGAGAAACACGUUAACGAGAUGGCAAUAUAGAUGAGGAUAAAGAGAUGACUUGAGCACUUAGAUGUAUUAUUUGCGGUUUCGACCUAAGUGGAAAAGUCUACUAUUAUUGGCUAUUAAAUAUGUGUGGAUCCGGUUUAGAAUCACCAUAUAUUUAUUGACUGGUUAUAAAUUGGUACGAUUGACCUUGAGGUUAUCUUUGGCUUGGAUUGAAUGACUUAAUGUUAUCCUAAGCUUAGUUUACAUGACAAGACUAUUGGAUGUUUCAUUCCAGUUGAGGAUAGUAGUGAAUAUAAAGGAGUCACUUGGUAUGCUUAUAGGCUAAGCUACCCUAUCAAUAAAAGUUCUAUAUAUAUAGUAAGUGAAAAGUAUGUGUUAUAUCUAAGUAUAACUUGGGGCACCAAGGGUGAGAAACUGAUUAUUAAGUUAGUUUUAUUAGUUAAUGAGUCCUCGAAUGUGUUUUUAGAGAGCCUACCGAGUAUACCAUUUAAUAUGGAGAGAGAUUUGAGUAGCGACGUACUGCAAAACGAAAAAAAAUUGCUAGUCUAUUUUCGUUAUAUGGACUGGCUUUAUGGAGUCAAAGUAACUAAAAUAACAAGAUGCAGGACUUUGUGAUUAAGAAGUCACCAAACCAAGUAUAUCACUUUGAGGUGCUUAGUUCUGUCCAUUGAGAGGAUCAGUAGACUAUACAUAUAUUCAUCAAUAAUAGACAUAUGACUUAUAUUGGCAUAAAGGGGAAAGUAUCGUUUCAUGCUUAGAUGAUUUGUAUCUUCACUUAUAGGUUAUCUUUUAUUUUAAGAUAGAUUUGUGAUUGUGACAUUAUAAGUGGAAGGUAAAUGAGUUGGAUAAUCUGAAGAUAUGGUCUAAGAUCUAUUUUAGUUAGUUUGAACUUCUGAUGACAUCUCUUGGAUACCGAGGUCAUUAGUAAUGUCAUGAACUAGAGGAACCAAGUGUUUAAAUUGUUCCUUAGAAUUCUUAUUAUUAUGUUCAUUAAUGAAAUAUGGAAAUAUUUUCCUACUCGAAUUGAGCAUAUGGAGGGGUUGAGGAGGGUCUUAUAAACAUCAAAUAAUCUUUUUAAAUACCGAGAUCGUAAGUAUAAUCUUUAAUUUUUAUACUGCGAUAUUUUGAAUCAUGUGAUGCUAAGGAUGACAGGUUGAUGGCAUUAUGCUCACUAAGGCACUAGUAUGUGUAAAUUACAAUUUUCUUUAUUUGAAUAGGUAAAGUUCAUCUGUAUGAGAGUCCUAACCUUAUUUGGGGGGUAGUAUUUAGCUCUUAGAGGGGAGUCCUACUUGAUAGUGAAAGGAGAGGGAAUAUUAUGGCUAAAGAGUCCAAUACGUGUACACCCGUGGUGGUUGGUGUAGGGAGAUUUAUACUCGAUGAGAUAUAUCACUUGCAAUAUUCAGUACCUUCGAGAUCUACAUAUAUGCAUUGGGAUCUGAGAAAAAGAGUUAAUGACAACUGAAGGUAAUAUAUGGUAUCAUAAAUAUUAUUUUUCAGAGUAUGAAUUGUUAAUAUACUAAAUAUGGGUGUUAGAGACUCGAGCAAUCAUCACAAAUAUAAUUUUCUCUCGAAGGAAGUGAAAAUAGAUCAUUGUAGACUUUGUAGUUGGUCUACACAUUCAUAGAGAAAGUUGUGAUUAUAGUUAGAUGAUCAUGAUAUGCUCAACGAGAUCGCAUGCUUGAUUUGCUUAUAUAACAUAAUAGCCUAUGUAGCGAUAUGUUUAAGAAAUAAUGUAAUAUGAUGAGAUGCCCAUAUCUUAUCUGUGACAAGAGUAACAAGGCGUCGAAUAUUUAUAUAGUAGUGUGUGAAUGUAUCCCACCACUGCUGUAUGUGAGAGUGUUAUGUGUUCUAGUGUUGUCGUACAUGAGAGACUUAUGUAGGGCUGCUUGGAUGUAUUUUAAAACUGACGUAUGAAAGAACGGUGGAUGUGUUCCAUUAUAGGAAGGUGGUCGGGGCGCUUUUAUGUGUUCUAGUGCAAUGGAGGCAUUAGAGAGUAUGGAUAUCCUGUCCUAAAAUUAGCCAAAUGGAUAUCAUAUAGCGAGUAGUUCAUGAUUAGCUGCUUUUAACCAAGUUUGUACCUAAUAAUAGUUACUAGCUUGUUAUGCAGAUCUUGUUGUUUGAAUUAAAUGAAGUUGGUGUAAUUCUCCAGUUGGUUGGUUCAAACCUAGUAAGUCACAGCUAUUAGGUCCAGAGUUGGUUCUGCAAGCUAUGAAAAUAAAGGGGCCGUGUUCGUAAGAGAACGACUUCAAGCAGCUUAAAGUAAACAAAAUUCCUAUAAAGAUACGGAAAAUAGUGGUAGGGAGAUCAUGAAGAUGAAAAAAAAUACUUAUUUUGAUACCACGAAGGAUUUAUGAGAUUUUUUCCGAAAGACGAUACGUUCAUAAUGAGAGAUAUAAUUCAACCCGAAGAGGUAGAACUUGAUGAGAAUUUGACUUACUAAAACAGGUGUGAUAGUUAUUCUUGAUAGACAAGCGCGGCAGUUAAGGUCGAAAAAGAUUGCUUAAGUGAAAGUAUUGUGCAAUCAGCCUAUAGAGGAAGCAACGGGAGAGUCCAGGCAGACAAGCAGGUAUCUACCUGUAGAUGUUUGAGACUUCAAUUAUACUUUCUAAUUCGUUCGAGGAUGAACUCUUGCUUAAAUGGGAGAAAAUAUAAUAACCUGAUAUCUUAAGAGUAAGCUUUUAAGUUAUGUUGUUAGUGAUAAUUUAUUUAAUUUUCACAAGUAUUAAUAUGCAUGUACAUAUAUAUUUUUUUUAAAUGAGAUUAUCAUUUACAUAGGUGUAAAGUGCGAUGGCUAGCCAAGUGAUAAUUAAUAAUUAUAUAAUAAUAGAGUGGGCUAAGCCCAUCAUUCUAGUUAUGUGCAAGACCUAGAAUAAGUGAACAAUUAACUUUAGAUAACUAAGAGAAAUUCACUACAAUGUAGAGAGCUUUUCGGUAGUGGCAGGGAUUCUCUUGAACCGUUGGUGGCGUGAACUUAGAGUGCUAGAAAGAGUGAAAUAUUCUUGCGCGUUACAACUCAACUGUGAUAGAAAGGUAUAGAUUUAAUUUUAUCACUAUGGCUAUAUUUCUUGAAUUAAUCUAGGAGGGAUAUUAUCACUAAUUCUUUUUCUUAUAGUGACAAAGAUCGAAUUGGAACAGAGUGGCCAUGGAAAACAUUGUAGUAUUUAUUAGGCCUUGGUAAUAUGAGUAGAAUUUUGUAAUGAAAACCUUACUAUUUAAUAAUGGAUAAGAACUAUUUGAGAUUGUCUUUUUGAAGUCAGAACACUUUGCAUAUGAAAUUCGUUUUAGAGUUUUGUAUAUAUUGUUAAAUUAGUUGCAUUACAUAAAUUCAUGUAAUAAGGUUUGAAUUCCUCAACUCACGUAUAGUUACAGGUGCAUUAAUGAGCGUAAAGUUUAGGACGCUUAGAAACCCUUUUAAGCCAGGCAAAUAAGCUUUGAAUGUGUGAAUUAUUAAGGGUUUAGUCGACUGUUUAGCAUAUCAAUUGUUGGAUUUAGUAUAAAAAUUCAUAUUUGACUUAUCAUAGUAUCAAGAUUGGAACUUGAUGAUAGAUUGGACUCUAUGACUUAUGGGUAACUCGAUAAUAUAAUUUGUUCGGGGAUUUAGCCAUAAUCAACGGGGAGUCGACUUUUGAGUUAACUUUAUUUUGAAUGUUUCAAAAGAAUUAUGAGAUCAAUCUGACUAUCAUAAUUGAUAUCGUUAAUCAAUACUUUUGGAUAGAUUGAUGCUGUUGGAGGCAAUUUGAUUGGUGUUCUAGACGUUGCAAGGUUGGAAAACUUUUCAGUGAGACUUUAAGCUUUGAUGCUUGCUUUUCAACCCGUUUUGAAAAUGUGAUUUCUCUGCCUGAUCCAUGUGUUGGGACAAGCAUGCGCUUGGCAGAAUCGGUGGUCUUAGACUAGCCGUAAAUAUAUUAUUUUAUGAAAAAUAUAAAAAUAUUUUAUAAGUAGUUUGAUAUUUUGAUUUGGGUGUGAGCCAUGGUGUUGAGUUUGAUACGGCUGUGCGCCAUAAUGUUGAGUUUGAUACGGCUGUGCGCCAUGAUGUUGAGUUUGAUAUGUCUGUGCGCCAUGAUGUUGAGUUUGAUACGGCUGUGCGCCAUGAUGUUGAAUUUGAUACGGUUGUGCGCCAUGAUGUUGAGUUUGAUAUGGCUGUGCGCCAUGAUGUUAGUUUGAUACGGCUGUGCGCCAUGAUGUUGAGUUUGAUACGGCUGUGCGCCAUGAUGUUGGAGCAUUGUAUAUGCCUUUGUACAUCACCCAAGCAUUGUGUAUGAUUCUUGAUAUAUUUGGGGCAUUGUGCAUGCUUCUGUGAGCAUUGUGUAUGCUCUGUUACAUAUUUGAGGCAUUGUGGUGCCGUUGUGUUGUGUAUGCUCUGUUACAUAUUUGGGGCAUUGUGUAUGUUUAGGUGUGUUGAUAAAUUUCUUUCACUGCAAUUAUAAUAAGUCCUUAGUGGGUAUUCUUGUGGGUUAAUUCUUAAUAACUCAGUUGAUACACAUAUAUUGAGUUAUUGUAUAAUUAUCAUAUUUACUAUAUCAUUCGUGUUGUGGUAUGUUUGUAUUUUCCAACACUUGUUCCAGAGGUAUUUAAAUUAGCCGGUCAAGGUUCUUACUGGGUUAUAUUUAUGUAAAACUCACUCCUUACCUGCAUCUCUAUGCAGAUACCGUUGCGGGAGAUAGAGCUAGUGGCUGACGAGUUUGUUUGAGUGGAUCCUAUUGCUGAAGUGAGUCAUCGCAUUGUUCGUGGAGGCUUUCGAUUCAGACUUACCUAGUUCAUGUUAGUUAUUUUCUUUUUUUCUUUGGGGUUUGCAUACCCGUCAAUAAAACUCAUAUUACUCUGUUAGAUGCUCUAUGGUCUUAAUGUGAGAUUUGUGCUAGAGUUUUAUUAUUUGAGUGAUUGUU